Molecule: long non-coding RNA, 614 nt
Organism: Mastomys coucha (southern multimammate mouse)
Lineage: Eukaryota; Metazoa; Chordata; Mammalia; Rodentia; Muridae
Exons: 4
Source: RefSeq, a predicted model, not a curated record
AGCUGCGGCUCUCCACAGUGGAGCCUAAAAUCACUGGGUGAAAAGCUAAUGGAGAAUAUUCCCAAAGUGUGGAGCUUGAUAACUCUAAAUGGACAGGAGUGCUAUAACAAAGAUCUGGUGGUCUCCUUCUAGAAAUGUAAUCAAACUGCAUCGGAAUAUAUGACCAGCUGAUGUUAGAUACAAACUAUAAAAUUAACAUGCAUGCUAGACAUGGGAAGAUACAUGAUAAAGAAACUAAAUGAGGAGAGACUCCUAAGGCUUACUUUUCACUGAAACUUGACAAACUGUGUCUGGGAAGAAAAUGCUCUGUAAUCACAGGAUUUACAAGAUUUACAAUAUAGCAAUAUAGGAUGACACAUGGCUGAUUUCAAUUUGGAAAUUCAAGGAACUGUUAUGGAGGCACCUAAUAAAAGCAAUAGGAAAAGGGGCCAAUGGACUCUUGGGAUCACAUAUACACACGCUGAAAAACAAUCCAGUUCCCAUGUCGGGAGCAUCUUCAAAUGUGUGACCAAUGGUAAAGUGUGCAGAAAUCAUUCAGCUGUCUUACAGGCAAGAAUGAGAGUGGGGCAACUAGCUUUGUUCUGUAAAUCAUAACUAAGCAAAAGAAGAAAUUC